GGCUGUGAAGGUGUGCUGCAGCCUGCCAUUUCUCUUGGCAAUAACUUGGAAGAAAGAAGAGAAGCUUUUUGGAAAAAAAUCUCUGCUAAGCAGAGCGUGGUGGAGGUGGGAGGAAGAAGGUCUGCCUGGGAGCUGGCAACCCCACACCUCAAAUCACCACUGGGAAAACAGCCCAUGGAAAUGCAUCCUCCUCCCACUUCAAGUCUUACCUGUAUUUGGCAGUGGGAUUUAAGGACCCCUUUAGGUACUGGAAUGCUGCUGUAAGGUCUCCCUGGAGCCUUCUCCCAGCUCUCAGUCUGUCUCUGGAAAGGCGCUCCAACCUUCUGAUCAUCUUUGUGUCCCUCCUUUGGAUCUACUCUAACAGAUCUGUGUCUUUCCUGUGUUUCCCCAGAGCUGA
Molecule: long non-coding RNA, 397 nt
Filed under: Cairina moschata (Muscovy duck)
Lineage: Eukaryota; Metazoa; Chordata; Aves; Anseriformes; Anatidae
Description: domestica (muscovy Duck (domestic type)) lncRNA (ENSCMMG00000010386.1)
Source: RNAcentral